RNAcentral lists this unclassified non-coding RNA (172 nucleotides) under Microdochium seminicola. RNAcentral describes it as "partial internal transcribed spacer 2". Lineage: Eukaryota; Fungi; Ascomycota; Sordariomycetes; Xylariales; Microdochiaceae. The record is from RNAcentral.
CAACCCUUAAGCCUAGCUUAGCGUUGGGAGACUGCGCUAAACCGCAGCUCCUCAAAACCAGUGGCGGAGUCCUCUGUGCUCUGAGCGUAGUAAUCUUUAUCUCGCUUGUAUGAACGCAGUGGUCGACGGCCAUAAACCGCACCUCUCCUUCGGGUGAGGGCACCUUUUUAAU